Molecule: ribosomal RNA, 460 nt
Filed under: uncultured bacterium
Lineage: Bacteria
Description: partial 16S ribosomal RNA
Rfam family: Bacterial small subunit ribosomal RNA
Source: RNAcentral
CCUACGGGGGGCAGCAGUGAGGAAUAUUGGUCAAUGGACGAGAGCCUGAACCAGCCAAGCAGCGUGAAGGAUGACUGCCCUAUGGGUUGUAAACUUCUUUUAUAUGGGAAUAAAACAGGGUAUGCAUACCCUCUUGUAUGUACCAUAUGAAUAAGGAUCGGCUAACUCCGUGCCAGCAGCCGCGGUAAUACGGAGGAUCCGAGCGUUAUCCGGAUUUAUUGGGUUUAAAGGGAGCGUAGGUGGUUUGUUAAGUCAGUUGUGAAAGUUUGGGGCUCAACCGUAAAAUUGCAGUUGAAACUGGCAGACUUGAGUACAGUAGAGGUGAGCGGAAUUCGUGGUGUAGCGGUGAAAUGCUUAGAUAUCGCGAAGAACUCCGAUUGCGAAGGCAGCUCACUGGACUGCAACUGACGCUGAGGCUCGAAAGUGUGGGUAUCAAACAGGAUUAGAUACCCGGGUAGUC